Molecule: ribosomal RNA, 253 nt
Filed under: uncultured bacterium
Lineage: Bacteria
Description: partial 16S ribosomal RNA
Rfam family: Bacterial small subunit ribosomal RNA
Source: RNAcentral
UACGUAGGGUGCGAGCGUUAAUCGGAAUUACUGGGCGUAAAGCGUGCGCAGGCGGUUUCUGAAGUCCGUUGUGAAAGCCCCGGGCUUAACCUGGGAAUGGCAGUGGAAACUAGGAGACUUGAAUCUGGCAGAGGGGGGUGGAAUGCCACGUGUAGCAGUGAAAUGCGUAGAGAUGUGGCGGAACACCGAUGGCGAAGGCAGCCCCCUGGGUCGGCCCUGACGCUGAGGCGCGAAAGCGUGGGGAGCGAACGGG